Long non-coding RNA from Amphiprion ocellaris (clown anemonefish), 1582 nucleotides. The record is from Ensembl. Lineage: Eukaryota; Metazoa; Chordata; Actinopteri; Pomacentridae.
AUCUUUUCGCCCGACUACACCUCUUAUCCCACCUGUUAUCAAAGUGACAAACCUGGCUGUCAACUUGAGCACUGACAUACACCCACAGUGAGGCGGUGGGUGUGGGGAGAUAAAAUGAUACACGAGGAGAUGACACAGGAUGAUUUGAGAAGAGAACAGGGGGCGGGAAGCUUCCGGUGUGCGCUGCACAGAGGCCGGUGACAGGUGUGGCGUAUUGGCAAUCAGCUGAUUGUGCGCAGGUGGAAGCCAGAGGAUUACCGACUCCAUUCGUCGGUUGAUGCCGGACUGUCCUCGACCUUACAAAGCUGACUUUCACCUGCUUGUGGUCACCUGGCUCUGCUGGUUCCAUCAUCGUCUGCCUGGCCUCCGUUCUCUAGUGGAUUCCAUUCAGCCGUGGAGACUCCCCUGCCACCAGCCUUCCCCUCCUGGAGAACACCUACCGAGCCCUGGAACACUCCGUGCCUCCCUAAGACGUAUAACCACCUGCCCAAGCCUCCGGACGCCAUUCUCCAUCCUGGCCGUUCGAACCGGGGACUUCGUCUAAGGAUUGGAUGGAGUCUGCACCCCUCCCUAGUAGAACUACUUCCUGUUUAGUCAGCUAAGUUCUUAGCCCUAACGACACCAGACUGUUUUGUCUUGCUAUGUAUUUCGUAUUAGUGGGUUUUCAUAGUUACUCGUAGUUGUAGUCUGGGCUUUUAGUGGAGGUUAUUGCAGACUAGGUUCUUGGUUUUUUUUGGAUAGUUUAUUUCAGUUGUAUUCCUGCCCUGGUGUUACCAGUAUUGGGUUUACUUAGUUUCUGUUUUUUAGGAUUUGUAAUUGCCCUCCGAGCCACUAGAGGCUGUCUUGAUCUGUUUGUUCCCAUAGAGUAGGUUACACUUCUGGUUCCGGAAUUCAGUUCCUAGUUGGGAUUUGUAGUCCUUGAGUUUUUUGUGUGUAAAAGCUUUUUGUAAAUCGUGCAACUGCUUUCAUUGUUACUUUCAUUUCCUGCAUCUGAGCCUCUACACCUGCCGUAACAUUUUAUUCUUUUGUAUUAUUUUCGACAUUGUAGAUUCAUACUGAAGAUUAACAUUUUUUGUUUACAACAUAAUUCCAUAUAUAUUUGUAUGUGUACUUUUAUAGUUUUGAUGUAUUCAGUAUUAAUUUACAAUGUAUAAAAUAAUUAAAGAAAAACCAUUGAAUGAGAAGGUGUGUCCAAACUUUAUUCAAUCAACUCCUAACAUUAUCAUUGCUUUAAAGUCCCAUUUUUAGUUAAUCCAUGAUUUUAGUUCAAUAUUUGGUCUUUUUUUUUUUUUUUUUUAAUCUCUGCUUUGGUCUCCACCAACAUUCAAGAGAAAUAACUAAAUUUAGCUGCUAAAUGCAAUGUUAGCAAACCUGUUCCCCAAGUUUUAACUGUGAACCCAAACAAUAGUGAGCUAAAAAUCAAAACAAAGGGCUCAAAGAUGCUAAAAUACCCUGUAAAACUGAACGCAGCAAAGUCAGGGAAUGAUUGUGUAGAGACAUUACUACCAGCUAAGGUAUUCAUACUAUAUAAUGUAUUGUUAUGAAAUCAUAUUAAAACAAUGAUUAGAGCAGCUGUAACGAC